AGUGAACGCUGGCGGUAGGCCUAACACAUGCAAGUCGAACGGCAGCACAGUAAGAGCUUGCUCUUACGGGUGGCGAGUGGCGGACGGGUGAGGAAUACAUCGGAAUCUACUUUUUCGUGGGGGAUAACGUAGGGAAACUUACGCUAAUACCGCAUACGACCUACGGGUGAAAGCAGGGGAUCUUCGGACCUUGCGCGAUUGAAUGAGCCGAUGUCGGAUUAGCUAGUUGGCGGGGUGAAGGCCCACCAAGGCGACGAUCCGUAGCUGGUCUGAGAGGAUGAUCAGCCACACUGGAACUGAGACACGGUCCAGCCUCCUACGGGAGGCAGCAGUGGGGCAUAUUGGACAAUGGGCGCAAGCCUGAUCCAGCCAUACCGCGUGGGUGAAGAAGGCCUUCGGGUUGUAAAGCCCUUUUGUUGGGAAAGAAAAGCAGCAGGUUAAUACCCCGCUGUUCUGACGGUACCCAAAGAAUAAGCACCGGCUAACUUCGUG
This 492-nucleotide ribosomal RNA is filed under the name uncultured bacterium. Its description in RNAcentral is "partial 16S ribosomal RNA". It matches the Rfam family "Bacterial small subunit ribosomal RNA", at positions 29 to 507 of the family's 1533-position model. The record is from RNAcentral.